RNAcentral lists this unclassified non-coding RNA (387 nucleotides) under Bombus terrestris (buff-tailed bumblebee). RNAcentral describes it as "misc RNA ENSBTSG00005031582.1". Lineage: Eukaryota; Metazoa; Arthropoda; Insecta; Hymenoptera; Apidae. The record is from RNAcentral.
GGGAACUAUCGGGCGUUAUCGUGACCCUCGAUCGGCACCUCGAGGGCGUCGAGGUGUACCGUGGCGUUCCGUACGCGUCGCCGCCGAUCGGCUCGUUGCGUUUUAUGCCCCCUGUCAGCAGUGCGCUUUGGCACGGCGUUAAGGUGGCCGAUAAAUUCGGGCCUGUUUGCCCGCAAAGGUUGCCCGAGCUUACCGACAAAAUGCCGAAAGGUAGAGUCGAGUACUUGAGAAGACUGCUGCCCUACCUAAAGAACCAGAGCGAGGAUUGCCUGUACCUAAACAUUUACGCACCGGUUCAAGGAUAAAGGACUUCAAACGCUCGCAAUUAGACCCGUCCAGAUGAAAUAUGUAUGGAUCGGCCUUCGAAACGCAACACGCCUCGAUUCU